CUAAGAUAGUUUAACAAAACAUUAGGCCGUGACCCUAACAACAGAGCCUUAGCUCUUCUUAGCU
RNAcentral lists this transfer RNA (64 nucleotides) under Acanthocercus atricollis. RNAcentral describes it as "tRNA-His". Lineage: Eukaryota; Metazoa; Chordata; Lepidosauria; Squamata; Agamidae. The record is from RNAcentral.